CGCCUGUUUAACAAAAACAUGUUCUUUUGAAUAUAUUUAAGGUCUAACCUGCCCAAUGAGGCAUUAAAUGGCCGCAGUAUUUUGACUGUGCAAAGGUAGCAUAAUUAUUAGUUUUUUAAUUGAAAGCUUGUAUGAAGGGUUGGACGAAAUAAAACCUGUCUUUAUUUAAGUUAUAAUAGAAUUUAACUUUUAAGUCAAAAGGCUUAAAUUUAUAUAAAAGACGAGAAGACCCUAUAGAUCUUUAUUUAAUUAAUAUUUUAAUAAUUUUGGAUUAUUUUAAUUUAAAGUUUUAAUUAAAUUUUAUUGGGGUAAUGUAAAGAUUAAAAUAAUUCUUUUUUUUUAAUACAUUGAUUUAUGAAUAUAUGAUCCAAUAUUAUUGAUUAUAAGAUUAAGUUAC
This 397-nucleotide ribosomal RNA is filed under the name Cylindera kaleea. RNAcentral describes it as "partial 16S ribosomal RNA". The stretch from base 1 to 161 matches the Rfam family "Bacterial large subunit ribosomal RNA", at positions 1797 to 2021 of the family's 2925-position model. The record is from RNAcentral. Lineage: Eukaryota; Metazoa; Arthropoda; Insecta; Coleoptera; Carabidae.